Molecule: ribosomal RNA, 253 nt
Filed under: uncultured bacterium
Lineage: Bacteria
Description: partial 16S ribosomal RNA
Rfam family: Bacterial small subunit ribosomal RNA
Source: RNAcentral
UACGAGGGGGGCAAGUGUUGUUCGGAAUCACUGGGCGUAAAGGGAGCGUAGGCGGAUGUUUAAGUUGGAUGUUUAAAACCGGGGCCUAACCUCGGAGCGGCAUCCAAAACUGGGCAUCUUGAAUAGGUCAGAGGCUGGUGGAAUUGGAGGUGUAGCGGUGGAAUGCGUAGAGAUCUCCAAGAACACCUAUUGCGAAGGCAGCCAGGUGGGACCAUAUUGACGCUGAGGCUCGAAAGCAUGGGGAGCAAACAGG